AUUCUUCAUCAUCACC
RNAcentral lists this small RNA (16 nucleotides) under Arabidopsis thaliana (thale cress). RNAcentral describes it as "ATSL049040". The record is from RNAcentral. Lineage: Eukaryota; Viridiplantae; Streptophyta; Magnoliopsida; Brassicales; Brassicaceae.